Molecule: ribosomal RNA, 274 nt
Filed under: uncultured bacterium
Lineage: Bacteria
Description: partial 16S ribosomal RNA
Rfam family: Bacterial small subunit ribosomal RNA
Source: RNAcentral
GUUUGAUGGCGACCGGCGCACGGGUGAGUAACACGUAUCCAACCUGCCGAUGACUCGGGGAUAGCCUUUCGAAAGAAAGAUUAAUACCCGAUGGCAUAGUUCUUCCGCAUGGUAGAACUAUUAAAGAAUUUCGGUCAUCGAUGGGGAUGCGUUCCAUUAGGUUGUUGGCGGGGUAACGGGCCCACCAAGCCUUCGAUGGAUAGGGGUUCUGAGAGGAAGGGUCCCCCCACAUUGGAACUGAGANACGGUCCAAACUCCUACGGGAGGCAGCAUG